This 415-nucleotide ribosomal RNA is filed under the name uncultured prokaryote. Its description in RNAcentral is "bacterial SSU rRNA". It matches the Rfam family "Bacterial small subunit ribosomal RNA", at positions 505 to 918 of the family's 1533-position model. The record is from RNAcentral.
GUGUCAGCAGCCGCGGUAAGACGGAGGGAGCAAGCGUUGUUCGGAUUUACUGGGCGUAAAGGGCGUCUAGGCGGGCUGGCAAGUCAGGUGUGAAAUCCCCCGGCUCAACCGGGGAUCUGCACUUGAUACUGCUGGUCUCGAGUACGGAAGAGGGAAGCGGAAUUCCUGGUGUAGCGGUGAAAUGCGUAGAUAUCAGGAAGAACACCGGUGGCGAAGGCGGCUUCCUGGUCCGAUACUGACGCUAAAGCGCGAAAGUGUGGGGAGCAAACAGGAUUAGAUACCCUGGUAGUCCACACUGUAAACGAUGGAUACUAGGUGUCGGGGGUAUCGACCCCCCCGGUGCCGAAGCUAACGCAUUAAGUAUCCCGCCUGGGGAGUACGGUCGCAAGGCUGAAACUCAAAUGAAUUGACGGGG